RNAcentral lists this long non-coding RNA (578 nucleotides) under Rattus norvegicus (Norway rat). RNAcentral describes it as "long non-coding RNA NONRATT021500". The record is from RNAcentral. Lineage: Eukaryota; Metazoa; Chordata; Mammalia; Rodentia; Muridae.
UGGGACCCUCUUACCGGAACGCUGGGGACGCGUCCGAGUGAGGCUCCGAGGUUCCCAGGGGCUUUCAGGACUCACAGAGACCUUCUGCACCUUGGUGAUGGCCCAAGGGGACUGUUUUCUUCCUUGGAACCUGAAUGACUGCCAAGAAGGAAGACGAAAGUAGAGUGCUUGUCUCUCCUGGUGGCUCCAGGCCUCAGGCUGUCCUAUCGAACCCCUUUCAGAGCUCAAGGACAAGGCUCACUUCAACUAGUGAGCUUGAGUCAUGAGUGAAACAUCUUGCUCUUUCCUUAUCGAGAAAGAAUUUCAAGAUGGACAGGUAGAAAGUGUCUCUGCUGGGCUCUCGCCAUCAUACAAGGACAAUGGUGCACUCAUGGCUUUCAGAGGAAUUCCUAUCUCAGAGCUGAAGAACCAUGGCAUUCUCCAGGUCCUGACAGCAGAAACUAACGGAUGGCAGCCAGGUGGUUUGUCAUUCCCCAUCAAAAAUUAGAAGCAACUGGGUUUGGAGCCAGUUGUGAGUGCAGAGAUGCUCCGAGCCCAGGAAGAAUGGGAGGUGGUAGACACCAUCCAUCCAGACAUAG